RNAcentral lists this ribosomal RNA (510 nucleotides) under uncultured bacterium. RNAcentral's name for it is "partial 16S ribosomal RNA". The record is from RNAcentral.
GGAGUUAGCCGGUGCUUCUUCUGUGAGUGAUGUCAUUCCUGCCGGUUAUUGACCCGCAGGCCUUCUUCCUAACUGAAAGUGCUUUACAACCCGAAGGCCUUCUUCACACACGCGGCAUGGCUGGAUCAGGGUUGCCCCCCAUUGUCCAAUAUUCCCCACUGCUGCCUCCCGUAGGAGUCUGGGCCGUGUCUCAGUCCCAGUGUGGCUGAUCAUCCUCUCAGACCAGCUACGGAUCGUCGCCUUGGUGAGCCGUUACCUCACCAACCAGCUAAUCCGACAUAGGCUCAUCCGAUAGCGCGAGGCCCGAAGGUCCCCCGCUUUCCCCCGUAGGGCGUAUGCGGUAUUAGCCUGGGUUUCCCCCAGGGUUAUCCCCCACUACCGGGCAGAUUCCUAUGCAUUACUCACCCGUCCGCCGCUCGCCACCAGGGAGCAAGCUCCCCGUGCUGCCGCUCGACUUGCAUGUGUUAGGCCUGCCGCCAGCGUUCAAUCUGAGCCAUGAUCAAACUCUGA